RNAcentral lists this ribosomal RNA (1258 nucleotides) under Odoiporus longicollis (banana stem weevil). Its description in RNAcentral is "16S ribosomal RNA". The stretch from base 1016 to 1175 matches the Rfam family "Archaeal large subunit ribosomal RNA", at positions 2542 to 2701 of the family's 2987-position model. Lineage: Eukaryota; Metazoa; Arthropoda; Insecta; Coleoptera; Curculionidae. The record is from RNAcentral.
UUGAUAUUUAGAAUAAGUAGGUUAAUUUUUAUUAUAGGUAAGAAAGAAUUUAAUUAAUUAUAGAGUAGUAGUAUUGUGAGAGAAAUAAUAUAAAAUGUUAGAAGAAGAAUUUAUAUUUUGUACCUUGUGUAUCAGGGUUUAUUGAAUAAUAAUUUUUUAUAAAAUUUUCUCGAAUUUAAAAGAGCUAUUGUAAUAGUUUUUUAAUGUUGAAUAAUUAUUAUUAAUAUUAUAAUAGAUAUGAAAUGUUACUCGUUUUUGAAUAUAUCUAGUUUUUUAAGAAAUAAAUUUAAUUUAGUUUUUUUUAAUAAUAUUUUAUAUUGUUAAAAUAUUAUUGAAAAAAUGAGAUGUUUUAGGGGAUGAGCUUUAAAAUAUAUUUUUAAAAAUUGUAUGAGAGUUUUAGUAUAUAAGUAGGAUUAGAAGUUUUUAUCUUUUUAAGUGUAUUAUAACUAUUUUAUUAAUAAAUAAGAUUUGUAUGAAUUUUAAGUUUUUUAUUAAAAUAUAAUUAUUAAUUUUUAAUGAUUAGAAAUAAUGAUAAAAUUAGUAUAGAUUAGUGUAUUAUUAGAUUUAUAAAUAAAGGUUAAAUAAAGGAAUUUGGCAAAUAAAUUUUUCACCUGUUUAUUAAAAACAUGGCUUUUUGAAUAUAAUUUAAGGUCUAGCCUGCCCAAUGAUUUAAAUAUUAAAUGGCCGCGGUAAUUUGACCGUGCAAAGGUAGCAUAAUCAAUAGUUUUUUAAUUGAAAGCUGGAAUGAAAGGUUGGAUGAGAAAAUAGCUGUCUCUGUUUAAAUUUUUUAGAAUUUUAUUUUUAAGUAAAAAAGCUUAAAUGAAUUUAGAAGACGAGAAGACCCUAUAGAGUUUUAUAUUUAUUUAUUUAAAAGUUUUUAGAAUUUUAUUAUUUUUAUAUAAAUAAGUAUUUUAUUGGGGUGAUUAAAAAAUUGAUUGAACUUUUUUAGAAUUAGUACAUAGAUUAGUGAAUGAUUGAUCCUUAUAUAAAGAUUAUAAGAUAAAAUUACCUUAGGGAUAACAGCGUAAUUUUUUUUGAGAGUUCUUAUCGAAAAAAAGGAUUGCGACCUCGAUGUUGGAUUAAAAUUAAUUUUUGGUGUAGGAGCUGAAGUAAUUAGGUCUGUUCGACCUUUAAAAUUUUACAUGAUCUGAGUUUAAACCGGUGUGAGCCAGGUUGGUUUCUAUCUCUAAAUAAAUAAAUUAUCUUAGUACGAAAGGACUUGAUAAUUAAUUAAUAAUUUAAUGUAAGAGUAAUAGUA